UCGUUCUCUUUCUCUCAAUUUUCUUCCUAAAUCCUUUGAGCCUCUUUUUCUUUAUACAAUUCAUGACAAUUUUAGCCAAUCGAAAAUCUAUAUUUUAGGCUAUGGGAUUGGAAAAUAAAAUCAAGCAAUUAGGGAUGGAGGUGAUGUCUUGCUUACUACAAAUUUGAAACCUUGACGGGAUUUUAGCUCAGAUUAAACUCUGGGUCUUGUAUUGGAGGAGACAAAUUGAUGCCAAUAUGGAUAGUAAAGUACCGUCUAACGAGGUUCCCAUCGAGCAAACUCGCGAGUCACUUAUCGCUAUAUCGUAUACGGCACCAGAUAUGUCCCCAAAUACGGAUCAUGCAUCUCGAAACAUAGAUGGUGCAAAGACUGAUGGAACUGAAAAGUGUAGGUCUGAAUUGAUUUCUAUAUCCUAUGACCAUUCUCCUGAUGUUCAAGAGCCCCCUAUCCUGCUUGGUACCCAUGUUGGUCAAUGAAGACUCAAAUUGUAAUGGGACAAAUUUUAUAACAUUAACAUGCCUAUUGUUGGUAUGUUUUGCAAUAAUUCUUUCCAUGUAAGUGUAAAUAAGUAAACACAUUUUUUGUACAAACCAUGUUGUGAUUGAAGUGAAAGAUAUAUAAUUUUCUUUGUUUGUA
Molecule: long non-coding RNA, 636 nt
Organism: Gossypium arboreum
Lineage: Eukaryota; Viridiplantae; Streptophyta; Magnoliopsida; Malvales; Malvaceae
Exons: 2
Source: RefSeq, a predicted model, not a curated record